This 230-nucleotide unclassified non-coding RNA is filed under the name plant metagenome. RNAcentral's name for it is "partial contains small subunit ribosomal RNA, internal transcribed spacer 1, and 5.8S ribosomal RNA". The record is from RNAcentral.
UCUCCGUAGGUGAACCUGCGGAGGGAUCAUUACCGAGUACUCGCCCUCACGGGUCGUUCUCACACCCACUGUUAUCGUUACUGUCGUUUCUUUGGCCGGCCGCCGGUUCCCCGGCGGCCGGCGCCUAGCUGGCGGCGCGCGCCUGCCAGAUGCCUUCAAACUAUGAAUGGUAGUGUCGUAUGAGUACUAUAUAAUAGUUAAAACUUUCAACAACGGAUCUCUUGGUUCUG